This 1488-nucleotide ribosomal RNA is filed under the name metagenome. Its description in RNAcentral is "bacterial SSU rRNA". It matches the Rfam family "Bacterial small subunit ribosomal RNA". The record is from RNAcentral.
AGAGUUUGAUCAUGGCUCAGGAUGAACGCUGGCGGCGUGCUUAACACAUGCAAGUCGAACGAAGCACUUUAUUUGAUUUCUUCGGAAUGAAGAUUUUGUGACUGAGUGGCGGACGGGUGAGUAACGCGUGGGUAACCUGCCUCAUACAGGGGGAUAACAGUUGGAAACGACUGCUAAUACCGCAUAAGCGCACAGGGUCGCAUGACCUGGUGUGAAAAACUCCGGUGGUAUGAGAUGGACCCGCGUCUGAUUAGCCAGUUGGUGGGGUAACGGCCUACCAAAGCGACGAUCAGUAGCCGACCUGAGAGGGUGACCGGCCACAUUGGGACUGAGACACGGCCCAAACUCCUACGGGAGGCAGCAGUGGGGAAUAUUGCACAAUGGGGGAAACCCUGAUGCAGCGACGCCGCGUGAGCGGAGAAGUAUUUCGGUAUGUAAAGCUCUAUCAGCGGGGAAGAAGAAAUGACGGUACCUGACUAAGAAGCACCGGCUAAAUACGUGCCAGCAGCCGCGGUAAUACGUAUGGUGCAAGCGUUAUCCGGAUUUACUGGGUGUAAAGGGAGCGCAGGCGGUACGGCAAGUCUGAUGUGAAAGCCCGGGGCUCAACCCCGGUACUGCAUUGGAAACUGUCGGACUAGAGUGUCGGAGGGGUAAGUGGAAUUCCUAGUGUAGCGGUGAAAUGCGUAGAUAUUAGGAGGAACACCAGUGGCGAAGGCGGCUUACUGGACGAUUACCGACGCUGAGGCUCGAAAGUGUGGGGAGCAAACAGGAUUAGAUACCCUGGUAGUCCACACUGUAAACGAUGAUUGCUAGGUGUGGGGGGUCUGACCCCUUCCGUGCCGGAGCUAACGCAAUAAGCAAUCCACCUGGGGAGUACGACCGCAAGGUUGAAACUCAAAGGAAUUGACGGGGACCCGCACAAGCAGUGGAUUAUGUGGUUUAAUUCGAAGCAACGCGAAGAACCUUACCAGCACUUGACAUCCAACUAACGAAAUAGAGAUAUAUUAGGUGCCCUUCGGGGAAAGUUGAGACAGGUGGUGCAUGGUUGUCGUCAGCUCGUGUCGUGAGAUGUUGGGUUAAGUCCCGCAACGAGCGCAACCCUCGCCAUUAGUUGCUACGCAAGAGCACUCUAAUGGGACCGCUACCGACAAGGUGGAGGAAGGUGGGGACGACGUCAAAUCAUCAUGCCCCUUAUGUGCUGGGCUACACACGUAAUACAAUGGCCAUCAACAGAGAGAAGCAGUACCGCGAGGUGGAGCAAAACUUCAAAAAUGGUCUCAGUUCGGACUGCAGGCUGCAACCCGCCUGCACGAAGUUGGAAUUGCUAGUAAUCGUGGAUCAGCAUGCCACGGUGAAUACGUUCCCGGGUCUUGUACACACCGCCCGUCACACCAUGGGAGCCGGUAACACCCGAAGUCAGUAGUCUAACCGCAAGGAGGACGCUGCCGAAGGUGGGAUUGGCGACUGGGGUGAAGUCGUAACAAGGUA